ACAAAAGUAACUUACUUUCGAAUCAAAAAGUUGUUAAAAUUUGCUACAUUAAAAGUUUUUUUCUUGUUUUGAAAAUGAAAACUUUUACUGCUACAGUUUUUGAAAAUCUCAUUGCUCACUGAUUUAAAAGUUUUUCCUUUUAAUUCGACUGUAAAAUUUCUUUCAUUUUGACGUUCUCGUGUAACCGUGUACGCCUAAGUCGCAAAUGUAAACAAACACUUUGGUGGGUCCGGUGGUGCUGGUGAGUCUAGGACGCAAAGCAAAGCCGACCGCGGCAGCAACCAGGACUCGGACGCGGAAACCUUCGUGAGCCAAACAGCAGCAGCGGAACGCCUUCGAAGGAGGGUGGUGCAGGAGCGGGACGAUGUUGAGUGCUCGAAAAGGACAAGGCCAGCUUCCUGCAGGAACUGCAGCUGUUCCACGGCCGGAAUGCGAUGAGAGGUAGGAAUGUGGAUUCGCACCGGUUGUAUUCGGUGGUGGUGGCCCGGGAUUGGUGAUUGAAGGUCAAUUCCCGCGAGGACUGGGGCGAGAUCAUCGAGGAGAUGGCGCUGCCGAAGCGUUGCGUGAACAACGAGAUUGCGUUGAAGAAGAUUAACUUCCGGUUUUUGGACAAGUACGAGAAAGUUUAUUUUCACGGUGAGGAGAAGGAUCCGACGAAGAGGAGGACGACGAAAAGCUACAUAAUCGGAGGUGGUCAGCGCAGAUGUUGCACUCGGUGCCGGCGGUUUACAACACCGCAACUUCCCGCCCACAAACACUCACCUCGCGACGGCGCAGCUUCAGCCGAAUGAACCUGGACA
This is a long non-coding RNA of Culex pipiens pallens (northern house mosquito), 800 nucleotides long. RefSeq lists it as uncharacterized. The transcript has 3 exons. The record is from RefSeq and is a predicted model, not a curated record. NCBI's taxonomy places the organism in Eukaryota, Metazoa, Arthropoda, Insecta, Diptera, Culicidae.